GUGGGCGUAGCUCAGUCGAUUAGAGCGCCAGGUUGUGGCCCUGGAGGUCGUGGGUUUGAUUCCCAUCGCUCACCCCA
This 77-nucleotide transfer RNA is filed under the name Eubacteriales bacterium. RNAcentral's name for it is "tRNA-His". It matches the Rfam family "tRNA". From Rfam's summary of the family: Transfer RNA (tRNA) molecules are approximately 80 nucleotides in length. Their secondary structure includes four short double-helical elements and three loops (D, anti-codon, and T loops). Further hydrogen bonds mediate the characteristic L-shaped molecular structure. tRNAs have two regions of fundamental functional importance: the anti-codon, which is responsible for specific mRNA codon recognition, and the 3' end, to which the tRNAs corresponding amino acid is attached (by aminoacyl-tRNA synthetases). tRNAs cope with the degeneracy of the genetic code in two manners: having more than one tRNA (with a specific anti-codon) for a particular amino acid; and 'wobble' base-pairing, i.e. permitting non-standard base-pairing at the 3rd anti-codon position. The record is from RNAcentral. Lineage: Bacteria; Bacillati; Bacillota; Clostridia; Eubacteriales.